GAUGAUCUCGUAUCCUUAGACACACCCCAUUAUAGUUUUCCUCUGUGGCAUCAUCGGGACGGGAAAGGCAUUCUCGCUCGCGAUCUCACUGAUGAAAGGAGUAACCCUUUACGACCAUGAAUAUUACGCGUCCGACUUAGAUUUUGUGAGUACGUUCAUCUAUCAUCCCGUCGACCGCGGAUUCGUUAUUGAACCUAGGAUCAUUGUCAUUCGUUUCUCGAGUACCUAACUACCGCGAUUACUUGUCCGGUUCUAUAAUAAUCGUAUUUACACUAGUCAAUGUCUUCUCUAUUGCAUAACGACAACGUGUAACCCAAACGAAGAUUCGUUUCACGCCCCUAACCCUAAUUCUAAUGUAAACCCGACAUCAGAAGUGGGAUCAGUGCCGGUUAUAACAGUGCAAGAGCUUACGACCAUCGUGCGCGAGUUAAUUCCGUCGCUGGUGCAAAAAAUCGAGUGUGGAACCUAACAAUUUUUCGACUCCGCUGCAUGGUGCGCAGCUACCAAUCUGAUUAUGGGGGGAAAUCCUUUACAAAGCAGUGCCCUGAAUAUAAUUUCAAUACCGAGUGUCGAAUCGACUUCUACGUAGUGGAGGCGCCAACUGGUAGAUCAAGCCAUCCGGGUGAGUCGUUUCCAUUUUACCCCGAUUUCGGAGCCGAGUGUUCGCUAAUCAAAGAAUCCGUAGUCUUGAGAAUUUCUGGCAAAAGAACGAUUGAUAUAGUAGUAAUGCGAGGAAUAAGAGAUAUUGGUACUAAACGUAUCGCUCAAAUCUUGUCCGUUGCAGGUGUCGGCGAUUAGAGAUAAAUUUUUCAUGUCCUCGCUGAUAGUUAUUUAACAAUACGAUAUCGCGAUUACUCGUUAAAUUUUAAGCCAAGAUUUUGACGUAAUAUUACACAAAAUAGCCUCGCUAUGUGUAAAACAAAAAUAAUUAAUGCCUGUAAUAAAACCGCCGAAAACGAGAUCGAUGUUAAUGAAGUUGACAAUGAGGUACGUGGUAGUGAUAAAAGUCGAUUAAUCUUUCUUUUCGAAAAUUCAGAGAUUCAUCCGUUACGGGUUCCCUAAGUACUCGUACAAAAAAAUACAGGCCAGUUAGAAGUACAAUUAAUUGAUCCUAACAUCGCCGUACAAGAAGUCUUAAUAGACUUCGCGAGCGCAGAAUAGUACGUGAUAGAACAAGCGACUUAAUUACAGCCAAAAAUCAUAAAGCCU
Bombus huntii is the source of this 1209-nucleotide long non-coding RNA. RefSeq lists it as uncharacterized. Lineage: Eukaryota; Metazoa; Arthropoda; Insecta; Hymenoptera; Apidae. The transcript is spliced from 3 exons. The record is from RefSeq and is a predicted model, not a curated record.